RNAcentral lists this ribosomal RNA (658 nucleotides) under uncultured bacterium. RNAcentral describes it as "bacterial SSU rRNA". It matches the Rfam family "Bacterial small subunit ribosomal RNA", at positions 63 to 729 of the family's 1533-position model. The record is from RNAcentral.
CGAACGGGAGAAGACAGGAAGAUUUAUCUACUUGUUGGACACCGUGGCGGACGGGUGAGUAACACGUAAGCAACCUGCCUAUAAGAGGGGAAUAACAGUGAGAAAUUACUGAUAAUACCGCAUAAGCUGGAGGUAUCGCAUGAUACAUUCAGAAAAGAUUUAUCGCUUAUAGAUGGGCUUGCGUCUGAUUAGCUAGUUGGUGAGAUAACAGCUCACCAAGGCGACGAUCAGUAGCCGGAUUGAGAGGUUGAACGGCCACAUUGGGACUGAGACACGGCCCAGACUCCUACGGGAGGCAGCAGUCGGGAAUAUUGCACAAUGGAGGAAACUCUGAUGCAGUGACACCGCGUAUAGGAAGAAGGUCUUAGGAUUGUAAGCUAUUGUCGUGUGAGAAGAAAAUGACCAUCACAGGAGGAAGCCCUGGCUAAAUAUGUGCCAGCAGCCGCGGUAAUACAUAUGGGGCGAGCGUUAUCCGGAUUUAUUGGGUGUAAAGGGUGCGUAGGCGGGAAAAUAAGUCAGUAUGUGAAAUCCCUCGGCUCAACUGAGGAACUGCAACUGAAACUAUUUUUCUUGAGUGUUGAAGGGGAAAGUGGAAUUCCUAGUGUAGCGGUGAAAUGCGUAGAGAUUAGGAGGAACACCAGUGGCGAAGGCGACUUUC